GACGAACCGUGCGAACGUUAUUCGGAAUCACUGGGCUUAAAGCGCGUGUAGGCGGAUGGGAACGUCGGAAUCUGAAAGCCCCCGGCUCAACCGGGGAAGGGGAGCCGAAACGACCUGUCUGGAGGGACGUAGGGGGACCUGGAACUUCCGGUGGAGCGGUGAAAUGCGUUGAGAUCGGAAGGAACGCCCGUGGCGAAAGCGAGGUCCUGGACGUCUGCUGACGCUGAGACGCGAAAGCUAGGGGA
This 245-nucleotide ribosomal RNA is filed under the name uncultured bacterium. Its description in RNAcentral is "partial 16S ribosomal RNA". It matches the Rfam family "Bacterial small subunit ribosomal RNA", at positions 524 to 767 of the family's 1533-position model. The record is from RNAcentral.